CUGUAGCUCAGUUGGUAGAGCAGAGGACUGAAAAUCCUCGUGUCGGUGGUUCGAUUCCGCCCGG
RNAcentral lists this transfer RNA (64 nucleotides) under human gut metagenome. It matches the Rfam family "tRNA", at positions 5 to 66 of the family's 71-position model. From Rfam's summary of the family: Transfer RNA (tRNA) molecules are approximately 80 nucleotides in length. The record is from RNAcentral. RNAcentral also lists the same sequence under 1 other name.